This 365-nucleotide unclassified non-coding RNA is filed under the name Hevea brasiliensis (rubber tree). Lineage: Eukaryota; Viridiplantae; Streptophyta; Magnoliopsida; Malpighiales; Euphorbiaceae. The record is from RNAcentral.
GAAAUUGGAUUACCAAAGGUCAUGAUGUUAAUAAUUUGACGUAAUUAGUGUCAUUUUCUGAAGCACUUAUUUAAUUCAGAAUUUAAAUGAAAUUUUAUUGGAGGCAGAUAGUUUGAGACUGAGUGGUGGAUCUUGGCUCUGUAAGGUUACUGGCUAAUUAGGAAAGAGGAAAUGGCAAUUGAAAUGACUUAGCUAACUGUAAUUUUGUUUCUAGGUUGAUUUUGAAUCUUGCGAAUGAAUGGAUGAUGCCAAAACUGAUGGUUUACGCAGAGCUGUAUACUGACUUGCCAGACUUCUCUUUUCUCUAUGCCAUUGAUCAAAUGAUAUCUUCCUAGAUCAUAGCUGACUGUUUCUGUGUGUGUGUG